GACGUGGGGGGCGAGCGUUGUCCGGAAUUACUGGGCGUAAAGAGCUCGUAGGCGGUUUGUCGCGUCUGCUGUGAAAGCCCGGGGCUUAACCCCGGGUGUGCAGUGGGUACGGGCAGACUAGAGUGCAGUAGGGGAGACUGGAAUUCCUGGUGUAGCGGUGGAAUGCGCAGAUAUCAGGAGGAACACCGAUGGCGAAGGCAGGUCUCUGGGCUGUUACUGACGCUGAGGAGCGAAAGCAUGGGGAGCGAAC
This 250-nucleotide ribosomal RNA is filed under the name uncultured Kocuria sp. RNAcentral describes it as "partial 16S ribosomal RNA". It matches the Rfam family "Bacterial small subunit ribosomal RNA", at positions 524 to 773 of the family's 1533-position model. Lineage: Bacteria; Bacillati; Actinomycetota; Actinomycetes; Micrococcales; Micrococcaceae. The record is from RNAcentral.